CGCGUAGGCGGUCUGCUAAGUUGGAUGUGAAAACUCUGGGCUUAACCCAGAGCCUGCAUUCAAUACUGACAGGCUAGAGUUCUGGAGGGGAUAGCGGAAUUCCUGGUGUAGCGGUGAAAUGCGUAGAUAUCAGGAGGAACACCGGUGGCGAAGGCGGCUAUCUGGACAGAGUCUGACGCUGAGCGCGAAAGCUAGGGAGCAAACA
RNAcentral lists this ribosomal RNA (205 nucleotides) under uncultured bacterium. Its description in RNAcentral is "partial 16S ribosomal RNA". It matches the Rfam family "Bacterial small subunit ribosomal RNA", at positions 568 to 774 of the family's 1533-position model. The record is from RNAcentral.